Molecule: ribosomal RNA, 254 nt
Filed under: uncultured bacterium
Lineage: Bacteria
Description: partial 16S ribosomal RNA
Rfam family: Bacterial small subunit ribosomal RNA
Source: RNAcentral
UACGAAGGGGGCUAGCGUUGCUCGGAAUCACUGGGCGUAAAGGGUGCGUAGGCGGGUCUUUAAGUCAGAGGUGAAAUCCUGGAGCUCAACUCCAGAACUGCCUUUGAUACUGAGGAUCUUGAGUUCGGGAGAGGUGAGUGGAACUGCGAGUGUAGAGGUGAAAUUCGUAGAUAUUCGCAAGAACACCAGUGGCGAAGGCGGCUCACUGGCCCGAUACUGACGCUGAGGCACGAAAGCGUGGGGAGCAAACAGGG